UAGUAAAAACACCGUGCGCCGGUGAGCUGAGAUGAGAAAGACGCGUCCCUGCACCGUGUCCGUGUCGCUGACUGACCGUUCUGUUGACCCACACGUACGCCGAGGUGAAAUACAUAAGUUGUUUUUAACUGUUAUAUGAAAAAUACCAAGCCCAAAAUUAGAGAAACAUUUUUGGAUUAGGAAGGAGACCAACAUCAAAUCUCAAAAGAUGGACCCCUUGAAUGUCUUGACUGGCAAUUACACCUUGAAGUCGAAGACACCAUGCGAUCUGUCCUCCUGCACAAAACAGGAAGUUCUUGAGUAUUUUGAGAAUUCCUACAGCUUAAAUGAGAGUCUGUUUACGUCUGUGGCUGCCAAGGAGGCAUUUUACAUGUGUCCUGAUCGUCUGCGACUGCCACUCAUCUUUUACUACGCUCACACCGCCGUGGUCUACUGGAACAAGAUGCUACUGGCAGGCCUCGUACAGGGACGAAUGAACCCGGAGUUUGAGACCAUGUUCGAGACGGGAGUGGACGAACAAUCUUGGGAUGACACGGAGAAUUACCGCAUGGGGGGUGCCUUCAAGUGGCCGCCCUUGGAAGAAGUGGUGGAGUACCGGCGCAAGGUCCGCAACGCCAUACGCAAAGUAAUUGCAGAUACCAAGCUAGAGCUGCCAGUUACCAUGGAGAGUCCGUGGUGGGCCCUGUUUAUGGGUUUUGAGCAUGAGAGAAUCCACCUGGACACAUCCUCAGUUCUGAUCCAGCAGCUACCCAUCCACCUGCUACGCAAACCCCAGGACUGGCGAUCUGGACCAAUCACUUACGGCGAAGGUGCUGGAGAGAACAAGAUGGUGUCCGUGCCGGCGUGUGAAGUCACCGUCGGGAAACCUUUGGACUUCCCCUCCUAUGGAUGGGACAAUGAGUACCCAGAAUGCCAGAAAAUGGUGCCUGCAUUUGAGGCUUCGCAGUACUUGAUCACCAACCAGGAAUUUCUGGCCUUUGUUGAGAGCGGCUGUUAUGAGAAGAAGCAGUACUGGACCAAGGAGGGCUGGCAGUGGAGGAACUUUCGCAAGGUGAUGCACCCGAUAUUCUGGAUCUGUAACAAAGGUUGCCUGUCCAACUGCGGCGGGAUACUGGCCGGAUACAGCCACUGUCAGCAAGGAAUGAAUGGCACAGCCAAUGGCAACAACACCAGUAACGGCAACAACACCAGUAAUGGCAACAACACCAGCAACGGCAACAACACCAGUAAUGGCAACAUGACCAGCAAUGGCAACAACACCAGCAACGGCACCAAUGGCUUCACUAACGGCGAGCAACAUGCAAACAACAACGACGAGAGCCAGUUCAGGCUGCGCACACUCUGUGAAGAGAUCCCUAUGCCAUGGGACUGGCCUGUCGCCGUCAACUACCAUGAAGCCAAGGCCUACUGUAAGUGGAAGGGCCCCGAGUACCGUAUCAUGACGGAGGCUGAACAUGCUGCCAUCAGAGACAAACAGGUACCAGUCAAGUGUGGCACAUCUGCAGACAUCUUGUAUCACGGUGAUCUACAGGAGAAAUACAACACUAACUUGGCCUACACUACCAACACUCCUGUCAACCUGUACCCACCCACCAAGCGUGGUUUCUACGACGUUUUCGGUAACAGUUGGCAGUGGAUGGAGGAUCACUUCAACGGUCUACCAGGCAGCAUGUCGCAUCACCUGUAUGACGACUUCAGUACCCCUACCUUUGACGGAAGACAUAACGUGAUUUUGGGCGGAUGUUGGAUGUCUACAGGUGACGAGUCGUCUCGGUUUGCGCGAUACGCUUUCCGCAGACACUUCUACCAGCACGCGGGCUUUCGCAUCGUCCAGUCUGUGGAUCGCAGUGACACUCUUCCUAUUGCCCUGGUGUGUGGGCUCGAUGGUUCUACUGAAGAUGUCUGCCUGCCCGCGGGGACUAAAAUCGAUCCCCCCAUGCCCUCCACCAACACGCAGUUAGCUCAUGAAUCGGAUGCCGAGCUGAAGGCGCAACUCCUGGCGGAAUACGGAGCAGAGCAGGGCAGUCUGGCCAGCCAGCUGGCACAGGUCAGCCACCAGGCUCUGCAGGCUCAAGGCAGCAAUGCAACCAUGGCUCUGGACCUGCAGUGCGGCUGUGGCAGGCUCAGCUUUGAGUUGUCCAGAUUCAUGAAGGAGGUUCUGGCCAUCGACUACUGCCAGUCCUUCUUGACAGUAGCUGAAACCAUCCAAGACAAGGGCCGUUACCAGGCAGUGAUGCCUGAUGGGAAGACUCUUGCUGUUGAUCUGCCAGAGGGGGUGAACCAAUCCCGGGUCAACUUCAAACAGUUCACCUGGAUUCCCAACGAAAUCAUGAACUUUGACCUUGUGGUGAUGCAGGGCAUCGACCGGGUCAUGAACAAGAGAGGGCCUGGUUGUUGAGACUGUGGGAGAUCAUUGUUCCUAACGGAGUCGUCGUGAUUGUCUCCACCAAAGGCUACGGAGCCGAUGAACUGAAAGCCCAUGUUGAGAACCACUUGGAGCUGACUGAAGCCAAGGAGCUGUCCUAUGCUGGUCCCAAAGGCCAGAUCGCCACAGCAACCGUCACCAUCUGGCACAGGAAGUAAAGUAACAGGUGUAAGUGCGUCAGGAGAGAACAUGAA
Molecule: unclassified non-coding RNA, 2619 nt
Filed under: Patiria miniata (bat star)
Lineage: Eukaryota; Metazoa; Echinodermata; Asteroidea; Valvatida; Asterinidae
Description: uncharacterized LOC119728198, transcript variant X2
Source: RNAcentral